RNAcentral lists this ribosomal RNA (253 nucleotides) under uncultured bacterium. Its description in RNAcentral is "partial 16S ribosomal RNA". It matches the Rfam family "Bacterial small subunit ribosomal RNA", at positions 524 to 776 of the family's 1533-position model. The record is from RNAcentral.
UACAGAGGUGUCAAACGUUGUCCGGAAUUACUGGGCGUAAAGGGCGCGUAGGCGGCCUUAUAAGUCAUGUGUGAAAGCUCUGGGCUCAACCCAGGAAUUGCAUGUGAUACUGUAAGGCUUGAGUUCGGUAGAGGAGGGCGGAAUUCCAGGUGUAGCGGUGAAAUGCGUAGAUAUCUGGAGGAACACCCGUGGCGAAGGCGGCUCUCUGGUCCGAAACUGACGCUGAGGUGCGAAAGCUAGGGUAGCAAACAGG